This is a long non-coding RNA of Drosophila albomicans, 290 nucleotides long. RefSeq lists it as uncharacterized. NCBI's taxonomy places the organism in Eukaryota, Metazoa, Arthropoda, Insecta, Diptera, Drosophilidae. The transcript has 3 exons. The record is from RefSeq and is a predicted model, not a curated record.
GGCAAAUCUAAACUAAACAAUAUUUUUCUAUUAUUUAAAAUGGAUAUUGAAGUUGGAGGAAAUCAAAAAGCUGACAAAAGUGUUCGUCUUCUGUAGAGGAAAAAAAGGUGUUCUGCGUAUUUGUGCGUUGUUUAAUUUUGGUUUGCGGCUUUUUGCGGCUUUUCCGAUGCUUUAAUUAUUUAGAUGUGCUUGAAUUCUGUCACGCCACGUUGCUGGACGUGUGGAUGGACAGCGGGCGCCACUCUUCCGCGCUGGUUGAACUUGUAUUUGGUCAAAUAGAUGAAUGUACA